UUGCUCUAUGUGAGAAGUAUCAGUUUCUCUCGGAGCAGCCAACCAACUAGUGGUUGUGGGGGCAUCUAUUUAAAGCCUGGGAGCAUCCCCGCAUGAUUAGAUAUUAAUGCCCUUAAUGACAUGACCUUUGGGUGGAUAAGAUUUGGGACAGGUUGCGCGCGGCGCGACAACUAUCGGAACUUUCAAUUGUGAAAGUCCUCGUGUCUCUCAUAUUGCUCACGGGGAGUAUCGGGUAGGUGUAGAUUUGAGUUGAGCAUCAUGCGCAAACUAUUUCCUUAGUUUUACAUCGACCGACUUUAACAGUACGGCGAUCCUAUGACUCAGGAAUGAAAAAAAUGACCAGAAAGAGUAAAUCUUCAACUUUCGAAGUCUUCAAAGCAUUUUCCUCAGGACACACCGAAUUCCUCAUAUUCAAUGUUUUGAUGAGGAAUAUCAAUUUCUUCGCAAUUUCUUCGCGAUCAGAGUCUUCAAGGAAUGACCAAAAUCUUCGCCCGAAGACAUACAUUUUUAGGGGUCGAUAUUCAUCGAAUCACUCAAACUCCUUAAUGACUUAUUGAGCUUGUGUACACUUACAAACAUAUGAGUAUCUUAACCUAUAAGUCUUCAAUCCACCAAAAUCACUAAGGGUCACUAGAUGCACUUACACAAUCCAUACAUAUGAUACUUGAUCUCUAGCCUCCCCAAGUUGCUUUCCACCAAAUCAAUCUCUCCUACCCAUGCAAAAUCUGUGUAGCGACCCGACUCAAAAAGAGUCAAGCCUCUCUGUAUCUGUGCCAUCCCUGGAUCAGUAUGCUGGCACACACAGUAAAUCAAUGUAUAUAUCAAAGUGCAAUCACAUGUAAAUAACGUAAAAUUGAUAUAUACCUCAAAAUCUCAGUGGAAACAGUCAAGGGAGUGGAGUCCCAAUAAACACCAACGACAAGUUGAGCGCAGACCGUAACCCUGAAUCAUACUCUUACUCGUCGAAGAAAGUAUCUACAACAUAAGACGUUGCAGCCGUGUAGGUCAGGAUAUUGAAUAUGCCGGCAAGUCACAAAAGAUAGGGGUGAAAUAUCAUCUAUACUAUAUGCAUAUAUGGCAGGUGGGGCUGUAGUUUAAGUUUAGCGUAAAGCAAAUUUUCCUACAACAAGAGAGAGGGUAAAAGCAAAAUUUACUACAUUGUUGGUUGUUAAUGAGAAGGUUAAACCAACCAUUUCUCAUACCCAAGUUAUCAAUAUUACCCACAUCAAAUAGAUUUAAUGGUGUUGAGAAUUCCUGAUAGCUUUAGUUCCUUUGGCUCAAGUUGUCCAUGACCGUGGACACGGCUAAUAGAUUAGGGUUGAGUACUCUGCAGAGUUUUGCACACGUUCCCCACAAGAUCUGAUCGCCUCCGUUGGAGUCCUCGCACUUCAGGGUGUUUGAGAACCGGAUGAUCAAAACAUGGUCUUCCAAAGGGUUCCUCUGAGCCACUGUUGGUUCCCAUCCAAUCCUACCGUUCUUCUACAUCUCGUAGCACCCCCCGUCCAGACACACCACGAUGUCCAACCAAGUUAGAGCCCAUAAUUACUUGUGGCUGUGAAGGUAAGCCUCGGGUCUUGAAUUAUCCAUCCAUCUCUUCGUGCCUGGGUGAAGCUUUUCGCAAGAUGUCAUGGCGCUUCCCCAUGCAUCACGGGUCAUCCACUGGUUUCCCGAGGGAGCCCAUCAAAACCGUUCUUCACCCAGAGGUAUAUUGCAUCAUGAGGUCUUGAAAGUCUUGAAUUAUUCAGGUCUUGAUUAUUAAUUUCUCACAACACUCAUGAUAAACACUCAACCAAACCCGUCAACUAGAAGCAUAACCAAAUAACGUCCUAGCCAAAGUAACAAGGGGCUUAUGGGUGCCUAUCACAAGAUACUACUCAAAAAUCAAAAUUUCCAAGUACCUACUCUGCUUGCAAUAGGUAGAGAAGGUUGAAACUAAUGCAAUAAAACCAUAGGUAAAAAUAUGAUCAAUGUGAACUUGCCUUGUAAGGUUGAUGGACAUAGAUAUUGCUCUCAAGAAAUAACUUGAUAGAACUAUUCGUCACUCUCCAAUGAAUACUAUAUAAUCAAACAUAGUAUUCACAUCAGCAAUCAUACUAUCAAUCAUCCUAACAAUCCAUGACAAAUCAAAAAAAUUCAAUUGAUGCAAUAACAUUAAUAGGAAAAAUCAAAUAAGAAUCCAAAAGAACUUCAAAGAAUAGCUAUGGAGCCUUCUACUAUAACAACACAAGAUAAUUUUUAUCCUAUUUAAACUUAACAGAAAAAUAAAACACUAAAAUAGUAAAAUAAAAGAAAAUAAAAUAUAUAAUAACUAAGAUAAUAUAAAGUAUUUUUCAUACAAAUUUUAUUAUCAGAAACAAGUAAUUGAAAUGUUUUUUGUUAACCUCUACUUAUGAUCAAAACCAUGUUAACCUUCAAUUAAAUCUAUACAAUUUCACCUUCAAUACAAAUUGUUGCCGAUCUAAUCAAAAGUUAACAAAGAAUAAAACUCAUAAAACAAAAUAUAUAAAGUAUUUUCAAAUAAGAAUUUAAAUUUGGCAAUGAAAUCAAUUUACAAGUUAUUAUUGAAUUAGAAUUGAUUCCAUGCAAACAAAUAAGAGUAAACAAAAUAAAAUUUUGUUGUUGUUGAAAAGUUACAGGUAAAUAUGAGAAAACAAAAUAUAACAAGUCGUAAAAACAAAGGAAAACAAAUUAAGAACAAUUAAUACAAAAGAAAUAGCAACAAAACUGAAAAGAGAUAAAACAGAAUUUGUUUUGCUUAAAACCCUAAUAUAAAAUAUCCUAAAAAUUCUGAAAUUAAACCCACUGAUAAAUAAUAUAACUAGUGAUCAGUAGCAGAAAGAAUCAACUCAAAAGCUAUUUUUAAACUCCCGAUAUUCACAAAAAGGUUAAAAACAAAAUCUAUUUAAAUUCAAAAUUUAAAAAUAUUUUUUGUUGAGUCCACGAGAUAGAUGGGAUUUUUAUAAACUGGUAACAAAAAGAAUCAGUGGAUUUGGAGUUGAAGACUAAUAGAUAUGAAUUUUCUAAAUUUCCUCUUUUUCUGGAAAAAAACUUUUACGGGAUUUCUAAAGCUCAACGGAGAUAGUCGCCGGAGUUGGAGAAGACGAUAGGGAGGUGGCUCCGGUGACCGGCCGAGGCAGCGGAGGGGUUCAGGUGGUGGCGGAGUGGCUCCGGAGCGUCGAGGUGAUGUCGGAGGGGUGUGGGGGCGACGGGAGGAAGCAGCAGGAGCUUGGGAAGCUUCGGCUCCGGCCGAAACUCCGGCGAGUUGAGGCAGGCGCUACAGCGAUGGGGAGGGGCGGUUCUCGGGCGGAACAGAGAGAGGGGGAGGUGGGGAGUAUUUAUAGGGGCUCAGGAUGCUCGGAGAAGGUAGGAGGGGGGAGAUCAGCUCGGGAUUCGAUCAACUGCAGCCAUGGAAAGUUACUCGCAACGGUAGAAGGAAGGGAGAUCUCGUGAGGAAGAAGAAGAGGAUUCCGGCCGGAUUCAAAACGGGCCGAGGUUAGUUUUCCUAUUAAAAACGAUUUAUUACCUUCUAUUUGAAAAUAGGAAAGAGACGCUUCGAAAGGAAAUAAAUAAUAGUCCGAAAAUAUAAGUAUUAUAUAUCAAAAUAAUCAGAAAACAAUUCCCAUAACGUGGACAUUUUCUUUUUCCCAAAAUAAUAACUUUAAAAAUUAUAUAUUUUUACAUCCAAUAAAAACAAAACUUUGUCUUUUAACAAAUUUGGCACUACUUUUCUUCUGACUUUUUGGGGUGUCAUGCUACCUCCUCUCUUUCUUGCUUGACCAGAUAAUUGUUAGGCAUUUUGUGAGUGAAACAAUAUUGUGCCAAAAAUAAAUGCAAAUCAAAUAACGAAAGAAAAUUCAAAUGCCACCAUCAUUCAAAUUCUUUAUAGUUGAAGAAGUCAUGUUGUCUUCUCUCAUUGAUUUUAAAUGGAUGAAUUUGAAUUCAUAGGAAAAGGGGAAACUCAUUUUAUUCGCUCUCAAUCAAAAAAUUUAAAAGUUUCAAAUUCUCAAUCAAUUUCAAAUCACUGAAACAAACGAACAAUCAAUCUAGUAAUUAUUGUAACAUACCAAAAUUUGGGAUGUUACAAUCUGUGAGAGAGUGACUGAGUGUUCCGGAGACAAUCUAUAGAAGCACAAGAGCAAGGAGUUCAUCGGUCUAACACAUCAAUUACCUUUUGGAGGGUGUAGCCUCCUAGAUUGGUUAGGCGUCGCUUGGGAGCCUCCUACUUCAUGUUGUGGAGUUGAACCAAGAUGUUGGUAAGGGCAAGGAUAUCGCCUACUUCAUGAAGAUCUACCAUAAGUGAGGCUAGUCCAACGUGGAUGGAGGCCAUGGUGUAAUAGACAAGGCCGCUUCUUCGUGGACCCCUUUUAGGUGGAGCCCUCCGUAGACUCUCGCCACCAUUAGCCUCCGUGGGUUGAAUUCUCCGCUAACAUGGACGUACGAAAGCGCCACCCAUUGAAACCAUGCCAAAAAUGAUCGUGUCAUCCUCUUUGCGUUUGAUCUCCUAAAGUCUACUACUUACUAGAUGUGAAAAAAAAUUAUUCCGUUGCUAUAUAUGUUGACUAGCAUGUGUCGGGUGCACUAGACUUGUUAGANN
This 4594-nucleotide long non-coding RNA is filed under the name Hordeum vulgare. RNAcentral describes it as "long non-coding RNA (HVUL_LNC001365)". Lineage: Eukaryota; Viridiplantae; Streptophyta; Magnoliopsida; Poales; Poaceae. The record is from RNAcentral.